Molecule: unclassified non-coding RNA, 327 nt
Filed under: soil metagenome
Description: partial contains 5.8S ribosomal RNA, internal transcribed spacer 2, and large subunit ribosomal RNA
Rfam family: 5.8S ribosomal RNA (bases 1-120)
Source: RNAcentral
GAUGAAGAACGUAGCGAAAUGCGAUAAGUAAUGUGAAUUGCAGAAUUCAGUGAAUCAUCGAAUCUUUGAACGCACAUUGCGCCCCUUGGUAUUCCGAGGGGCAUGCCUGUUCGAGCGUCAUUAUCACCCCUCAAGCUUUGCUUGGUGUUGGGGCCUGCUGUAAUAGGCAGCCCUUAAAAUCAGUGGCGGUGCUUCAAGGCUCUAAGCGUAGUAAUUCUCCUCGCUAUAGUGUCUAGUGGUUGCCGGCCAGAACCCCCCAAUUUUCAUGAUUGACCUCGGAUCAGGUAGGGAUACCCGCUGAACUUAAGCAUAUCAAUAAGCGGAGGA